This 148-nucleotide non-coding RNA is filed under the name Gorilla gorilla gorilla (western lowland gorilla). Lineage: Eukaryota; Metazoa; Chordata; Mammalia; Primates; Hominidae. The record is from Rfam by way of RNAcentral.
GCUGGGUGUGGUGGUGUGCACCUGUAAUCCCAGCUACUCAGGAGGCUGAGGUACGAGAAUCGCUUGAACUCAGGAGGCAGAGGCUGCAGUGAGCUGAGAUUGUGCCACUGCACUCCAGCCUGGGUAACAGAGUGAGAUUCUGUCUCCA